This 844-nucleotide ribosomal RNA is filed under the name Niebla ceruchis. Its description in RNAcentral is "LSU rRNA". It matches the Rfam family "Eukaryotic large subunit ribosomal RNA", at positions 80 to 939 of the family's 3401-position model. Lineage: Eukaryota; Fungi; Ascomycota; Lecanoromycetes; Lecanorales; Ramalinaceae. The record is from RNAcentral.
UUAGUAGCGGCGAGCGAAGCGGCNACAGCUCAAAUUUGAAAUCUGGCUCCUCUCGGGGUCCGAGUUGUAAUUUGUAGAGGAUGCUUCGGGCGCGGCACCGGUCUAAGUCCCUUGGAACAGGGCGUCAUAGAGGGUGAGGAUCCCGUAUGUGACCGGCGACCAAGUCCAUGUGAAGCUCCUUCGACGAGUCGAGUUGUUUGGGAAUGCAGCUCAAAAUGGGUGGUAAAUUUCAUCUAAAGCUAAAUACCGGCCAGAGACCGAUAGCGCACAAGUAGAGUGAUCGAAAGAUGAAAAGCACUUUGGAAAGAGAGUCAAAAAGUACGUGAAAUUGUUGAAAGGGAAGCGCUUGUAACCAGACCUGCCGUCGGGUGUUCCGCGGGCACUCGUGCCCGCCCACUCACCCGCGAUCAGGCCAGCAUCGGUUUUGGCGGCCGGAUAAAGACUCGAGGAAUGUAGCUUCGCUUCGGGGAAGUGUUAUAGCCUCCUGUGCAAUACGGCCAGCCGGGACCGAGGACCGCGCUUCGGCUAGGAUGCUGGCGUAAUGGUUGCAAGCGACCCGUCUUGAAACACGGACCAAGGAGUUUAACAUCUAUGCGAGUGUUUGGGUGUCAAACCCAUGCGCGGAAUGAAAGUGAACGGAGGUGGGAACCCUCAAGGGCGCACCAUCGACCGAUCCGGAAGUUUACGGAUGGAUUUGAGUAUGAGCAUAGCUGUUGGGACCCGAAAGAUGGUGAACUAUGCCUGAAUAGGGUGAAGCCAGAGGAAACUCUGGUGGAGGCUCGCAGCGGUUCUGACGUGCAAAUCGAUCGUCAAAUUUGGGUAUAGGGGCGAAAGACUAAUCGAA